CCUCCGCGCCCGCGGCGGCCCGGCCGCGUCGCAAGAUGGCGGCGGACAGCGAACCCGAGUCGGAGGUGUUUGAGAUCACGGACUUCACCACCGCCUCCGAGUGGGAGAGAUUUAUUUCAAAAGUAGAAGAAGUAUUGAAUGACUGGAAACUUAUUGGGGUUUCUUCAGGCAAACCUCUAGAAAAGGGUAUAUACACCACAGGGACAUGGGAAGAGAAAUCAGAUGAGAUUUCAUUUGCGGACUUCAAAUUCUCAGUUACCCACCAUUAUCUUGUACAAGAACCCAGUGACAAAGAUGGGAAAGAAGAGCUGGCAGAAGAUGCCCUUCCCCUGCCAAUGCAGGACUUGCUGUGCAUGAACAAUGACUUCCCCCCUCGAGCUCACUGCCUGGUGAGAUGGUAUGGCUUACGGGAGUUUGUGGUGAUUGCUCCUGCUGCAAAUAAUGAGGCCGUUGUGAGUGAAUCCAAGUGUAACCUUUUGCUGAGUUCCAUUUCCAUUGCGUUGGGGAACACUGGCUGUCAGGUACCACUGUUCGUGCAGAUACACCAGAAAUGGCGCCGGAUGUACGUUGGGGAAUGUCAGGGCCCGGGAGUCCGGACUGACUUCGAAAUGGUCCAUCUGCGCAAGGUGCCCAGCCAGUACACUCACUUAUCAGGGCUGCUGGAGAUCUUCAAAACCAAGAUUGGGUGCCCUCUAACACCACUGCCUCCCGUUAGCAUGGCUAUCCGGCUGACCUACGUGCUCCAGGACUGGCAGCAGUACUUCUGGCCUCAGCAACCACCAGAUAUAGAUGCCCUAGUUGGGGGAGAAGUUGGAGGCCUUGAAUUUGGGAAGUUACCAUUUGGUGCCUGUGAGGAUCCUAUUAGUGAGCUCCAUUUAGCUACUACCUGGCCCCACCUGGCAGAGGGCAUAAUUGUGGACAAUGAUGUGUAUUCUGACCUGGAUCCUAUGCAAGCCCCACAAUGGUCUGUGAGAGUCAGAAAAGCAGAUAACCCUCAGUGUCUACUGGGUGACUUCCUUACCGAAUUCUUCAAGCUCUGCCGUCGGAAGGAGUCGACUGAUGAGAUCCUUGGGAGAUCUGCAUUUGAAGAGGAAGGAAAAGAGGUUGCUGACAUUACCCAUGCCUUGUCCAAGCUCACAGAGCCAGCACCAGUCCCAAUCCAUAAACUAUCAGUCACAAAUAUGGUUCACAGUGCAAGGAAAAAAAUCCGCAAGCACAGAGGUGUGGACGAGUCGCCUUUAAACAAUGAUGUGCUGAACACCAUUCUACUGUUCUUGUUUCCUGAUGCUGCUGACAAACUUGCAGAUGGAUUUGAAAGCAGAGCCAACACUUCAGCAGGAAACAAUCCUCCUCCAGAGAAUGAAGAUUAUAAUCUCUUCAGUCAGUUUAAAUCUGCUCCCUCUGACAGUCUGACCUACAAAUUAGCUUUGUGUCUUUGUAUGAUAAACUUCUACCAUGGAGGAGUAAAAGGGGUGGCACAUCUUUGGCAAGAGUUUGUGUUGGAAAUGCGCUACAGAUGGGAGAACAACUACCUCAUUCCAGGAUUAGCUAAUGGCUCUCCAGAUCUGAGAUGUUGUUUACUGCAUCAGAAACUCCAGAUGUUAAAUUGUUGCAUUGAAAGGAAGAAAGCAAGAGAUGAGGGGAAAAGGGGGAGCGUGUCUGAUCGUUCACCUGGGGCUUCUGGUGAUGGUGCAAAAGGAGCAGAACACUCUGCAGAUAACCCUGAUAAGGAAAAGGAAUUUGGCAAGUCUUGGGAAUCAUGGAGUGACAGUGAAGAUGAAUUUUUUGAAUGUCUGAGUGACACAGAAGACCUCAAAGGAAAUGGACAGGAAAACGGAAAGAAAGGAGGAGCAAAAGAAGGCAACAAAGAGCCUGUGAACUUAAAACCAGAGGGUCGUCUGCAUCCACACGGGAAGCUGAUGCUGCUGCAUCCUGGAGAGCCUCUCUACGUUCCAAUAACACAGGAACCAGCACCCAUGACUGAGGAUUUGCUGGAGGAGCAGUCUGAGGUGCUGGCAAAGCUGGGAACCUCAGCAGAAGGUGCUCACCUCCGGGCACGGAUGCAGAGUGCCUGUCUGCUCUCAGACAUGGAGUCUUUUAAGGCAGCGAAUCCCGGCUGUUGCCUGGAGGACUUUGUGAGGUGGUACUCCCCUCGGGAUUACAUCGAGGAGGAGGUGGUGGAUGAGAAGGGGAAUAAAAUCAUCAAGGGCGAGCUGAGCGCCCGGAUGAAGAUUCCCAGCAACAUGUGGGUGGAGGCCUGGGAGACGGCAAAGCCCAUCCCAGCACGGAGGCAGAAGAGACUCUUCGAUGACACCAGGGAGGCAGAGAAGGUGCUUCAUUACCUUGCAGUUCAGAAAUCAGCUGACCUUGCAAGGCACCUCCUGCCUUGCAUCAUCCAUGCAGCUGUACUCAAGGUAAAGGAUGAAGAAGCACUAGAAGAUAUCUCUUCAGUCAAGAAGAUAAUCAAGCAGAUAAUAUCUCAUUCCAGCAAAGUACUACGGUUCCCCAAUCCAGAGGACAAGAAGUUGGAAGAGAUCAUCGCUCAGAUUAUGAGUGUGGAAGCAAUCAUUGCCAGGGCAAGGUCUCUGAAAGCAAAAUUUGGUGUAGAGAAGUGUGAAAAUGAGGAGGAGAAAGAAGAUCUACAAAGGUUUGUAAACUGUCUCCUGGAGCAGCCAGAGGUGUCAGUUGUGGGUGCAGGAAGAGGACCUGCUGGCAGCAUCAUUCACAAGCUGUUUGUGAAUGCUCAGAGGGUAAGAGGGAGCUCUGGGUUGCUUUGCAGACACUUGUGAUUUAAGCAGAAGGAAGCAAUGACUUAUCAUAUGAUGCCAGUGUAUUUUGUCUGCAUACGUGCAUGUGUUGUCAUAAAUGUGCUUGAGGUGUUUUUUGUGAUGUUCAACAUGAUUUUGGCAAUAACAGAACCUUGCAAGACAAAGGAAGAGUCAGUGAUCUGGGAUGUUAAACAAUUGAAGCCAACUGGGUACACAGAGGUGUCAUUAAUGGCUGAUGUACAACCAGUAAUGCUGUUAUGGCACAGAUUUCUGUCUCAGCAAGAACAAUCAAGUGUUGAUUGUUUCACAUAGGAAUGUAGAGAAACAGGUCAAAAUAUUAAAUUAUUUUAGAAGGAAUAACUUUUUAGAAUGGGGAUACUUGGAAUAUACUUGGAAUACUCAAGACUUCUUCUGUGGAAAGUGGCAUGCUGAGGAAGUGUCAGCUCUUUUUCAGUAGGACUCUACAUUUAGUUACUUAUUGCCAGUGUUGCAUCUGUUUUCUGGAGCCCCUUCUCUUGCUGAUAUUGAUGCAAAUAUUGCCUUUUUAUCUGAAGCAGUGUUUGUAAUAAUAAGCCUUAAAGUAUUGAUUUCCAAACCUCAUGGACUGCAGUCACCCUUCAGUUUCUGUCAGAAUUACACCUGCUCAUAGCAUCAAGUUUUCUAACUAAAAUUUAACUACAGUGGUAAUAGCAAGGUAGCACAGUAUUGCAGACAUCUUAGAGCCUGAAAUUCCAUUUGGGAAUAAUUGCUGGGAAAACAUUGUGAUUGGGUGUUAAACACUUCUAAGGUAUGGAUGACUUUGUAAUAAACUGUAUUUUGCAACACAGCAUAAAAAGGACCAUUCUGAAAACAGACUGUGGUUAGUGUGAGGGAUGAAAAUCAGAGCAUUUAUUUUAUCCUUCCAGUCUCUAGGGAAGGUCUAGUUUGAAAUCUCAACGUGCCAACCAGCCUGACUUACAGCCCCUCCUGUAAAGCCCAAGGCUGUGCCCUGUCAGUGCCUGCACACGUGUGCACUUGCCUCUAACACUGAGGCAGGGUUAGAGUAGGUUUCUAGGUUAGUGUUUGAUAAAGAUAUGUGCACAUUUCUAGGGCUUUGUUUCUUUUGAAACACCAGUAAACAAAGUAGGGUUACAGAUACUUCCCCCAGUAGCUGGUCACUGUUAAUUAGGAUGUCUUAGGGCAACAGGAGCCCCCUUUCUGUUUGAUCUCCCAUGAGUUAUUUGGGUAGAGAGCUGUUUGGUAAAUAGAAGUUGAAUGAAUUCCUUGUUCAUUACCUUUUGAUCCUGGACUCCUCUCUGAGUUGUGUUUAAUGUGUUAUGUUCUCAGAUUUUCUCAGGAAAAUUCUGAUAGCCAGUGCAUGCUCUUGGAAGUAGAGUGCAUGAUGUCUCUUAAACCUACAGUCUCCUAACCUCUUGUAAGUCAUCUCUGACUUGCCUUUGUUUCUGUCUUUCAUCACUGG
Molecule: RNA transcript, 4227 nt
Organism: Lepidothrix coronata (blue-crowned manakin)
Lineage: Eukaryota; Metazoa; Chordata; Aves; Passeriformes; Pipridae
Gene: RAB3GAP1
Gene name: RAB3 GTPase activating protein catalytic subunit 1
Exons: 24
Source: RefSeq, a predicted model, not a curated record